GAUGAACGCUGGCGGCGUGCCUAAUACAUGCAAGUCGAGCGAACAGACGAGGAGCUUGCUCCUUCGACGUUAGCGGCGGACGGGUGAGUAACACGUAGGUAACCUACCUAUAAGACUGGGAUAACUUCGGGAAACCGGAGCUAAUACCGGAUAAUAUUUCGAGCCGCAUGGUUCGAUAGUGAAAGAUGGCUUUGCUAUCACUUAUAGAUGGACCUGCGCCGUAUUAGCUAGUUGGUAAGGUAACGGCUUACCAAGGCAACGAUACGUAGCCGACCUGAGAGGGGGAUCGGCCACACGGGAACUGAGACACGGUCCAGACUCCUACGGGAGGCAGCAGUAGGGAAUCUUCCGCAAUGGGCGAAAGCCUGACGGAGCAACGCCGCGUGAGUGAUGAAGGUCUUCGGAUCGUAAAACUCUGUUAUUAGGGAAGAACAAACGUGUAAGUAACUGUGCACGUCUUGACGGUACCUAAUCAGAAAGCCACGGCUAACUACGUG
RNAcentral lists this ribosomal RNA (497 nucleotides) under uncultured bacterium. Its description in RNAcentral is "partial 16S ribosomal RNA". It matches the Rfam family "Bacterial small subunit ribosomal RNA", at positions 28 to 507 of the family's 1533-position model. The record is from RNAcentral.